ACCGGCAGCUCAAGUGGUGGCCAUUUUUAUUGGGCCUAAAGCGUUCGUAGCCGGUUUGAUAAGUCUCUGGUGAAAUCCCGCAGCUUAACUGUGGGACUUGAUGGAGAUACUAUUAGACUUGAGGUCGGGAGAGGUUAGGGGUACUCCCACGGUAGGGGUGAAAUCCUAUAGUCCUGGGAGGACCACCUGUGGCGAAGGCGCCUAACUGGAAUGAACCUGACGGUGAGUAACGAAAGCCCGGGGCGUUUACCG
This 252-nucleotide ribosomal RNA is filed under the name uncultured prokaryote. RNAcentral describes it as "partial 16S rRNA". It matches the Rfam family "Archaeal small subunit ribosomal RNA", at positions 475 to 726 of the family's 1478-position model. The record is from RNAcentral.